Chinchilla lanigera (long-tailed chinchilla) is the source of this 3313-nucleotide long non-coding RNA. Lineage: Eukaryota; Metazoa; Chordata; Mammalia; Rodentia; Chinchillidae. The record is from Ensembl.
AUGACCUUUAACGACCCCCAUCUCCUAUCCCCCGGAAGUGCUUGCUGCUCGCAGAAAAGAAAAAAACAUAGACGGAGAGGAGAGAAAAACCUUCCAAAUUCCAGGACGGGAAAGAUGCCAUCACAACACUACCAGGCUGUUUACUUUAUGAGCAGGACGUCUUCCUGCUCCUUCUCCAGGAUGGAAACUUACCCACUUUGGCAAAACCAGGGUCUCAGCAGUCUGCUCCGCCCUUUGAGCACAGGGAUGCCAAUAGCUUCUUCCUUACUUUCAUUAGGGUUUGUUAAUCACUCUUCUUGUAACCUCCCGCUGUGCUCACAUAGAACAGAUUCUAAUUCAAAGAUCCUGGUAGAUUCUUUUUUCUUCAACACCCUGUUCCUAAGGAGCUUCAUCUCCUAGUCCUUGCACUCUGAACCCUGUGCCUCUGUGUGCCUGUUAUGGUUUAGAUCUAAAAUAGCCCCUAAAAUCUCACGUGUUUGGAAGUUGAUCCGAUGGGGCGGUGGCUAUGCUCAUCAGUGGUUUCAGGCACUGAUGAGCUCAUAGAUGAAUGUGCUGUUAGGAGGUAGAAUUAUACGUUUACCUGGAAGGUAGAAUCACCAGUGCCACUCUGUGGGGAGACUGUAAAAGCUGGAGAUCCGUGUGUGUAAAUAAUAGAGAAGAGGAGCUCUUCCCAUAUGGCAAUGCUUCUUUCUUUUCCCCUAUUUACUCUAUCCAAGGUACAAAUUUAUGGGUUGGUACCAGUCACACCCAGAGUGGAUCUUCUCCCCUCUGUUCUCUGGCUGUUUGGGCUUGCAUCUAGUAACGUACUGUAGAAAUGAUCACUGAAAGUAUAGCCUUUGGGCUUAUAUCUAGAUGUUCCGCCAAAGCCCCAUGCAUUUAUCGGUGGGGCUUUUUGUAGUAGGUGGCUGGAUCUAGAGUGUAUAACGUGGAUCAGGGGUGUCUGAAUAUCAAUUGAUAAUUGAGUUAUUCCUGUGGUUGGCUUAGCAUAGUUCUGUGUGUGUACAGUGGGAGUGUAUGUAUGUGAUGCCAACGAUAGGGCUCAUCCUCAGUGUGAGUGGAACCGACCAAUAGGUUUGUAGCCUGAAAGAAAUAAAAGGGACAGAGAGACUCUCGGCUUUGCUGCUUUCUACCUCCUGCCUAAGCCCUGCGUACCCUGCUAUGGACUGCUUCUCCUCUGCCAGGCAGCUCUGCCAAGCUGCCCAGCCUCGGAGCCAGAUGGCUAUGGACUGGAACCUCUAAAAACUGUGCACUGGAAUAAAUCUUUCCUCCUUUAACUUGUGGGUGUCAGAUGUUUUGUUCCAGCAGCCAGAGAAGUAACUAAGACACAGGCCUAUGUGUCAAUCACCCAUAGACACACCCAGAACUGUGCUUUACUCAUCUGCUAAGUGGUUGUCACUCAAAUCAAGUUGAUUAUCACAAUUAACACUCACAGCCUCAUUUUGAAAACAUCACCAUGUAGAAAGGAAAGAGGAGUCUUUAUUUCCCUGGUCGUACGUAUCUAACAUCAUUCACACUUAGGAUGGAAUUCACAGAUCAGAAAUUUCUCAAAUAUGGGGCUGGGGAUUUAGCUCAGCUGCACAGUGCCUGCCUGGCAAGUGCAAGGUCAUGGGUUCGAUUCCUGAUACCGGUUAAAAAAAAAUAAAUAAAGAAAGAAAUUUCUCAAAUAGGUAUUUGUUCCCCAUGUUAAAGGGGAAGUAGGGCUGGGGAUUUAGCUCAGUGGCACAGCACCUGCCUGGCAAGCACAAGGUCGUGAGUUCAAUUCCCGGUACCGGAAAAAAAACAGAAAAAAUAAAAUAAAGUAAAAUAAAGGGGAAGAAAAGAGAACAUUCUUGUAAUUUUCCAAAGAAAUAAAGCAAAAGAAUAUCCAGUCAGCAUUCUGACUGCAUGGUUCGAAUGGUUCCAAUGUCUCUUGGCGAUUCAAACUUUGUCACUUGGGCUUCCAUUUUUUUUUUUUUUCCCUUAAAGAGUUUUAGUGCCAGCACAGACAAGGGUCCUUUGCUGUUUGUUGAGUGUGUCCCCACAGUUGGGACCUCUCGUGCGGAGAGGAUGGAAAAUAAAGUUUCUACCCAAGGUGACUUUUCCUACACUAGCUACAACUUCCCUUUUUUUUUUUUUUUGGAGUUCUUUGUUUUCUUUCUUUUUUUUUUCCAUUUUAAAGAGAAUUUUUAAGAAGAACAAUAGCAAAAUGCCAACAAUGUAGACAAAAACAAAACAAAGCAAAACCAAUAAGAAUGAUACAGGGUCUCAGAACAAAAUGAUAGGGAUUAACAGUGGUUGUUAUAUUACACAUUUUUAUCUUCAUCGAAGUUGGUCAGACAUAAGAAUGCAAGAUUAAUCAAACCAUUUUUCUUCUCUUUAAUGGUCUGAUUAAUCUUACAACUUCCCUUUGUCAUAAAUGCAGUUGUUCAGUAUAGAAAGAAGCGGUCACUUCCGAUUCUAACACCUGGUGGUUUUGUGUGAGCACAGACAAUCCCUUCUGUCUACUGCUGAGUACACAGUUGACUGGCUUUCAGUGUGUGCGUUCUUAAUUGUUCUACCAACCUCACUGCAAAGAGCACAAGAGUAAAGGUAAAUCACAUUAUUCUUAGGUUAUAGGCCAAUUGAGGAUUAACUUGCAUAUUUUGUGAAUCCCCUCUUACUUAGAAAAAUAAUGCAUUUGGGCUCAAGAGUACUAAACUAUGAACAGCCAGGAUUUUCCUUCUGUGAUUUUUCUAGUAUGUCAAAGAAUUAAAGUAAUGAAAUUAGGGACAUUAUUAUAAAUUCAGACUGGAUGAAUUCAGGUCUCAAUUGAUUUAAUGAAACACUGACAAACCUCAACCAUCAUUGUUUCCAUCAAGAUUUAAAAAUAACUCUGCCCUUUUAUAUUAUCGGAGUUCUCUGGAAAUAUGUUAAGGUUUAAUUCCAGGAUGAGUAACUAAUGGCAUAGUAACAGUAGUUCUUUUUCCUCUCCCAAACUCCAGAAUAUUUGCAGUGAGCUAAUCUUCCCUAGAGGAGACCAAGAGUUUAAUGAUUCCGUGCAGGUAAUUUGACAUGGGGCCUGAGUGAAAAGAUGCACUGAAAUGACGCACAAAAUGGGAAACUGUGGGGUCCAGAAAGCAAGCCACAGGUGAGGCUGGCCACGGCACCCCGCAACCCUGAUAGUGGGGGAGUUCUCAGGCUAAUGAGCUGCUGCCCUCUAUUUUGGUCACAGCGGCCAGCCAUGCUCAGCACGAAUUCUGCCUCUGAAAUAUGAUAACCAUGAUUUGAAAAAUGAUGGAAUUAAUUGAAAUGAUAAAAUAGCAUCUGUUAAGAUAACUCUUGGCAAGGUUCCCAG